UCCGGUGCCCCUGGGGGCUCCUUCUUAUCCGAAGCCGCCUCUCUCCUUGCUUUUCCCCCACCCAGUCCCGCCGCUCGCCUCCUCUUCUUGCUCUUCUUCGCUUCCUCUCCAGAUCUCGUCUGGGUUGACCUUGCGACAGCCAUGGCCCUCGUUCGUGCCGCUGCUGGUUGAGGGAUCUUCAGCACCGGUUGAUUGUUCUUGGAAGGUACUGGCGUCGUCCCGUGCUUUCUAGGAGAUGGCUCAGAACCAGCAGAUGGGUUUCACCCCGCUUUCUGAGCUUACCCAAGGCAACACACGCUGGUCAGUGCGUGUGUAUGUGUCACGCCUAUGGCACCACCGUGGUGGUACUGACAAUGGACCUAUUAAACAUACGGACAUGGUUUUUCUUGAUGCUGAGGGGAAUCAUAUGUAUGCAGAGGUUCCAGAGA
Molecule: long non-coding RNA, 428 nt
Organism: Lolium rigidum
Lineage: Eukaryota; Viridiplantae; Streptophyta; Magnoliopsida; Poales; Poaceae
Exons: 4
Source: RefSeq, a predicted model, not a curated record